This 559-nucleotide ribosomal RNA is filed under the name uncultured Glomus. RNAcentral's name for it is "SSU rRNA". It matches the Rfam family "Eukaryotic small subunit ribosomal RNA", at positions 546 to 1106 of the family's 1831-position model. The record is from RNAcentral. Lineage: Eukaryota; Fungi; Glomeromycota; Glomeromycetes; Glomerales; Glomeraceae.
AAUUGGAGGGCAAGUCUGGUGCCAGCAGCCGCGGUAAUUCCAGCUCCAAUAGCGUAUAUUAAAGUUGUUGCAGUUAAAAAGCUCGUAGUUGAAUUUCGGGGUUAGUAGGCUGGUCAUGCCUCUGGUAUGUACUGGUCUCACUGAUUCCUCCUUCCUGAUGAACCGUAAUGCCAUUAAUUUGGUGUUGCGGGGAAUUUGGACUGUUACUUUGAAAAAAUUAGAGUGUUUAAAGCAAGCUAACGCUUGAAUACAUUAGCAUGGAAUAAUGAAAUAGGACGUUCGAUCCUAUUUUGUUGGUUUCUAGGAUUGACGUAAUGAUUAAUAGGGAUAGUUGGGGGCAUUAGUAUGCAAUUGUCAGAGGUGAAAUUCUUGGAUUUAUUGAAGACUAACUACUGCGAAAGCAUUUGCCAAGGAUGUUUUCAUUAAUCAAGAACGAAAGUUAGGGGAUCGAAGACGAUCAGAUACCGUCGUAGUCUUAACCAUAAACUAUGCCGACUAGGGAUCGGAUGAUGUUAAUUUUUUAAUGACUCAUUCGGCGCCUUACGGGAAACCAAAGUGU